This 473-nucleotide ribosomal RNA is filed under the name Duttaphrynus chandai (Nagaland montane torrent toad). RNAcentral describes it as "partial large subunit ribosomal RNA". It matches the Rfam family "Bacterial large subunit ribosomal RNA", at positions 1902 to 2534 of the family's 2925-position model. Lineage: Eukaryota; Metazoa; Chordata; Amphibia; Anura; Bufonidae. The record is from RNAcentral.
CUGGCCCCAGGUGGACCCUGGUUCAACGGGGCCGCGGGUAUCCUAACCGUGCGAAGUGUAGCGUAAUCACUUGUUCUUUAAAUGUGGACUAGUAUGAAUGGCAUCACGAAGGUUAUACUGUCUCCUCUUUCUAAUCAGUGAAACUAAUCUCCCCGUGAAGAAGCGGGGAUAAAAAUAUAAGACGAGAAGACCCUAUGGAGCUUUAAACAAAGUAGCACUUAUCACACUAAAUAAAAAAUUCCAGAAUUACUAAAUUUCUGGGUAAUCUGACUAUAAGUUUUUGGUUGGGGUGACCGCGGAGCACAACAUAACCUCCAUGUUGAAAGAAAGUUCUAAGCUAAGACCACAUCUCCAAGCAUCAAAUAUUGACAUCCAUUGACCCAAUAAAUUUGAACACGAACCAAGUACCCUAGGGAAACAGCGCAUCCACUUUAAGAGCUCCUAUCGACAAGUGGUUUACGACCUCGAUGUUG